UACGAAGGGGGCGAGCGUUGUUCGGAAUUACUGGGCGUAAAGGGCGCGUAGGCGGCCGAUCAAGUCAGAUGUGAAAGUCCUGGGCUUAACCUGGGGACUGCAUUUGAUACUGAUUGGCUUGAAUGCAGGAGAGGAUAGCGGAGUUCCCAGUGUAGAGGUGAAAUUCGUAGAUAUUGGGAAGAACACCGGUGGCGAAGGCGGCUAUCUGGACUGUGAUUGACGCUGAGGCGCGAAAGCGUGGGGAGCAAACAGG
RNAcentral lists this ribosomal RNA (253 nucleotides) under uncultured bacterium. RNAcentral describes it as "partial 16S ribosomal RNA". It matches the Rfam family "Bacterial small subunit ribosomal RNA", at positions 524 to 776 of the family's 1533-position model. The record is from RNAcentral.